UGGGGAAUUUUGGACAAUGGGCGAAAGCCUGAUCCAGCAAUGCCGCGUGUGUGAAGAAGGCCUUCGGGUUGUAAAGCACUUUUGUCCGGAAAGAAAUCCUUGGCUCUAAUACAGUCGGGGGAUGACGGUACCGGAAGAAUAAGCACCGGCUAACUACGUGCCAGCAGCCGCGGUAAUACGUAGGGUGCAAGCGUUAAUCGGAAUUACUGGGCGUAAAGCGUGCGCAGGCGGUUUGCUAAGACCGAUGUGAAAUCCCCGGGCUCAACCUGGGAACUGCAUUGGUGACUGGCAGGCUAGAGUAUGGCAGAGGGGGGUAGAAUUCCACGUGUAGCAGUGAAAUGCGUAGAGAUGUGGAGGAAUACCGAUGGCGAAGGCAGCCCCCUGGGCCAAUACUGACGCUCAUGCACGAAAGCGUGGGGAGCAAACAGGAUUAGAUACCCUGGUAGUCCACGCCCUAAACGAUGUCAACUAGUUGUUGGGGACCUCAUUUCCUUAGUAACGUAGCUAACGCGUGAAGUUGACCGCCUGGGGAGUACGGUCGCAAGAUU
This 548-nucleotide ribosomal RNA is filed under the name uncultured bacterium. RNAcentral describes it as "partial 16S ribosomal RNA". It matches the Rfam family "Bacterial small subunit ribosomal RNA", at positions 355 to 895 of the family's 1533-position model. The record is from RNAcentral.